This 76-nucleotide transfer RNA is filed under the name Corynebacterium pseudotuberculosis. Its description in RNAcentral is "tRNA-Asn". The record is from RNAcentral. Lineage: Bacteria; Bacillati; Actinomycetota; Actinomycetes; Mycobacteriales; Corynebacteriaceae.
ACUUUGCCCUGAUGUCUCUUUGCAAUCCCUACAGCACUUCCAAACCGGCAUCUACCUGGCGAUUUGUACCAUUCCC